Molecule: ribosomal RNA, 1019 nt
Filed under: Micrococcus luteus
Lineage: Bacteria; Bacillati; Actinomycetota; Actinomycetes; Micrococcales; Micrococcaceae
Description: bacterial SSU rRNA
Rfam family: Bacterial small subunit ribosomal RNA
Source: RNAcentral
GGGCUCAGGGUGGAGCAGAUUCUUAGAGGAGUAACCUGCCCUUAACUCUGGGAUAAGCCUGGGAAACUGGGUCUAAUACCGGAUAGGAGCGUCUACCGCAUGGUGGGUGUUGGAAAGAUUUAUCGGUUUUGGAUGGACUCGCGGCCUAUCAGCUUGUUGGUGAGGUAAUGGCUCACCAAGGCGACGACGGGUAGCCGGCCUGAGAGGGUGACCGGCCACACUGGGACUGAGACACGGCCCAGACUCCUACGGGAGGCAGCAGUGGGGAAUAUUGCACAAUGGGCGCAAGCCUGAUGCAGCGACGCCGCGUGAGGGAUGACGGCCUUCGGGUUGUAAACCUCUUUCAGUAGGGAAGAAGCGAAAGUGACGGUACCUGCAGAAGAAGCACCGGCUAACUACGUGCCAGCAGCCGCGGUAAUACGUAGGGUGCGAGCGUUAUCCGGAAUUAUUGGGCGUAAAGAGCUCGUAGGCGGUUUGUCGCGUCUGUCGUGAAAGUCCGGGGCUUAACCCCGGAUCUGCGGUGGGUACGGGCAGACUAGAGUGCAGUAGGGGAGACUGGAAUUCCUGGUGUAGCGGUGGAAUGCGCAGAUAUCAGGAGGAACACCGAUGGCGAAGGCAGGUCUCUGGGCUGUAACUGACGCUGAGGAGCGAAAGCAUGGGGAGCGAACAGGAUUAGAUACCCUGGUAGUCCAUGCCGUAAACGUUGGGCACUAGGUGUGGGGACCAUUCCACGGUUUCCGCGCCGCAGCUAACGCAUUAAGUGCCCCGCCUGGGGAGUACGGCCGCAAGGCUAAAACUCAAAGGAAUUGACGGGGGCCCGCACAAGCGGCGGAGCAUGCGGAUUAAUUCGAUGCAACGCGAAGAACCUUACCAAGGCUUGACAUGUUCUCGAUCGCCGUAGAGAUACGGGUUCCCCUUUGGGGCGGGUUCACAGGUGGUGCAUGGUUGUCGUCAGCUCGUGUCGGGGAGAUGUUGGGGUUAAGUCCCGCAACGAAGAACCCUCGUUCCAUGUUGCCAGC